GCGGCAGGCCUAACACAUGCAAGUCGAGGGGUAACAGGGAAGAGCUUGCUCUUUCGCUGACGACCGGCGCACGGGUGCGUAACGCGUAUACAACCUACCUUUUGGAGGGGAAUAGCCCAGGGAAACUUGGAUUAAUGCCCCAUAGUAUGGGAAUAUCUCCUGAUAUUUUCAUUAAACAUUUAUGGCCAUUAGAUGGGUAUGCGUCCUAUUAGUUAGUUGGUAAGGUAACGGCUUACCAAGGCAGCGAUAGGUAGGGGUCCUGAGAGGGAGAUCCCCCACACUGGUACUGAGACACGGACCAGACUCCUACGGGAGGCAGCAGUGAGGAAUAUUGGACAAUGGGCGAGAGCCUGAUCCAGCCAUGCCGUGUGCAGGAAGACUGCCCUAUGGGUUGUAAACUGCUUUUACAGAGGAAGAACCACUCCCACGUGUGGGAGUUUGACGGUACUCUGCGAAUAAGGAUCGGCUAACUCCGUGCCAGCAGCCGCGGUAAUACGGAGGAUCCAAGCGUUAUCCGGAAUCAUUGGGUUUAAAGGGUCCGUAGGCGGGCAGUUAAGUCAGUGGUGAAAGUCUUCCGCUCAACGGGAGAACUGCCAUUGAUACUGAUUGUCUUGAGUUAUUAUGAAGUGGUUAGAAUGAGUAGUGUAGCGGUGAAAUGCAUAGAUAUUACUCAGAAUACCGAUUGCGAAGGCAGAUCACUAAUAAUAUACUGACGCUGAUGGACGAAAGCGUAGGUAGCGAACAGGAUUAGAUACCCUGGUAGUCUACGCCGUAAACGAUGGUUACUAGCUGUUCGGCCCGAUUAAGGGCUGAGUGGUUAAGCGAAAGUGAUAAGUAACCCACCUGGGGAGUACGUUCGCAAGAAUGAAACUCAA
Molecule: ribosomal RNA, 875 nt
Filed under: uncultured Bacteroidota bacterium
Lineage: Bacteria; Pseudomonadati; Bacteroidota
Description: bacterial SSU rRNA
Rfam family: Bacterial small subunit ribosomal RNA
Source: RNAcentral